This 499-nucleotide ribosomal RNA is filed under the name Veillonella parvula. RNAcentral describes it as "bacterial SSU rRNA". It matches the Rfam family "Bacterial small subunit ribosomal RNA", at positions 28 to 496 of the family's 1533-position model. The record is from RNAcentral. Lineage: Bacteria; Bacillati; Bacillota; Negativicutes; Veillonellales; Veillonellaceae.
GACGAACGCUGGCGGCGUGCUUAACACAUGCAAGUCGAACGAAGAGCGAUGGAAGCUUGCUUCUAUCAAUCUUAGUGGCGAACGGGUGAGUAACGCGUAAUCAACCUGCCCUUCAGAGGGGGAUAACAGUUGGAAACGACUGCUAAUACCGCAUACGAUCUAAUCUCGGCAUCGAGGAUAGAUGAAAGGUGGCCUCUACAUGUAAGCUAUCACUGGAGGAGGGGAUUGCGUCUGAUUAGCUAGUUGGAGGGGUAACGGCCCACCAAGGCGAUGAUCAGUAGCCGGUCUGAGAGGAUGAACGGCCACAUUGGGACUGAGACACGGCCCAGACUCCUACGGGAGGCAGCAGUGGGGAAUCUUCCGCAAUGGACGAAAGUCUGACGGAGCAACGCCGCGUGAGUGAUGACGGCCUUCGGGUUGUAAAGCUCUGUUAAUCGGGACGAAAGGCCUUCUUGCGAAUAGUGAGAAGGAUUGACGGUACCGGAAUAGAAAGCCACGG